Molecule: long non-coding RNA, 2155 nt
Organism: Callithrix jacchus (white-tufted-ear marmoset)
Lineage: Eukaryota; Metazoa; Chordata; Mammalia; Primates; Cebidae
Source: RefSeq, a predicted model, not a curated record
AGGAGAAGCUUUCCCGAAAAAGGGCGCAAUGGGCGGUAAUGAGAUGUGGCAGCUGAGUGUGAAAUCCUGCCACUGGCCAGCGGCAACUGGAAACAAGGCCGAAAAUAGCUCACGCAGAAUCCCAGCUUCGGGACAGGGAUGGAAACACUUUUACCAAGAGGCUUUCUUUAAAGCCACGUAGAGCACUUGUGGAAAUGGUAUUGUGACGUUACUUUUAUUCCAAACAUUCAUUCCCAAAGGAACCCGGAGCCGCAGUAUCCUUCACUGUUGCUGAAGAAAAGGGACUGUGCUGGCAGGGCUGAGAAAGCUGCAUGAAGAGGUAUCAGCAGUGGCGACUUAGAAGGACCAGGGUCCAGGACACAUCUGCAGAAGGACACUUGGGACUGGAGUUAAGGCCCACUGGGGAAUCCAGCAAGAUCUCAUCUCAAGGUCCUUAAUUACAUCUACGAAGACUUUGUCCAAAUAAGAUUGCAUUCACAGAUUCCAGGGAUUUGGACAUGGAUAUAUCUUUGUGGGGACCAUCAUUCAACCCAAUAAGAAGAAUCUUAUUUCUCAACCUACGAUCAGCAAACCAAGUACAUUAGGACCUCACGGAGUACUGCACUCUAUCAUUUGCACAAUACUAGACUGGAAAUGUGGACUCAGGAGGUGUCAUCCAGCCACCAUGAGGACAACCUUGUGAUAUCAGUAAAGACCUCUAAGCUCUGACACCCAUAAUCAAGGAACCUGAUGAAAUGCCUGGUCUGACAGGAAGAUGCAGAGAAAGUUACGAAGUGGGACAUUAUUUACUAAGAGGACAAAUGGGCAAUAUAAUGAACUGCCAAAGGUGGAGGUGAAAUGUCGCAGCUUACUGGAAGUAAUGUAUCUUUCUGCUGGGGUAUCAGGAUAUGGUGAUGAUUACACUCCUUCAAGUUAUUUCCUAGGAAACCAUGUUGAAUUUGAAACCAUCUUGCAUGUGAAAGCCUGUGUGGUCUUCUCACAGAUCACAUUUUCAAAGAGGUCAGAAGUCAAUGUAUAUGUAGAAUUUCAGACACUGUACUGUUUACCACAGGGACUGCACUCAGAAGCCUAAACAUGUCACAGGCAAAGCUAUUAGACUAUCUGUUUAAAGAAAAUCAAUGUCCAGGCACUGUGGCUCAUGCCUGUAAUUCCAGCAUUUUGGGAGGCCAAGCCGAGCAAAUCACUUGAAGUCAGGAGUUCAAGACAAGCCUGGCCAACAUGGUGAAACCCUGUCCCUAUUAAACUACAAAAAUUAGUCGAGCAUGGUGGCAUAUGCCUGUAAUCCCAGCUACUUGGGAGGCUGAGUCAGGAGAAUCAUUUGAACUUGCGAGGUGGAGGUUGCAAUGAGCCGAGAUCAUGCCACUGCACUCCAGCCCAGAUGAGAGUGAGACUCCGUCUCAAAAAAAGCAAGCAAGAAAGAAAAUCAACUGGAAGAGGGUAAAGAGAAGCACAAUUUCUCUGCAACACUGGGGAGUGAAUUUGUACAGAAGACAUUCCAAAACAUUCAUGAAGUUGACUGAAAAAAAAAUAGAAAUACAAAUGUAAAAUUUAAAGGAGACCAUGAACCUAAGAAAACAGAUGCUAGGGAUUUUUGGGCUGAAUACAAAACCUCUGAAAAGAAAAAGAAAAAGAAUUUUUGCCAAAAGGCAUCCUUUCCACAUCUGAAGUAAAACCCACAAAUACACAUGAGUAAUAUCAUGCAGGUUAUGAAGUUCCUAUGCAAAACCAGCAAAUAUUUUAUAUACCAGAACUGCUGGAAUAGUUGUAGAUAUUCAUUUUUUAAAGAUCUGAUUCUAUAACAGCUCUGAAACACAAAGCUGGACUACAAAAGUGCAUUUCACCACAUAUAUCAGUUUUCUUGAACCCGCUCACUAUCAGAAGUGGCCAACUUUUAAAGUUCCAAAGUUAGUGAAGAGACUGUGUACCAGACACUAAAAUAUGUCCAUCUUCUUUGUACUGUAGCAAUGCCAUAUUUAAGAAAAAUAUGAAAACACAACCAAAAACCAAACGGGAUUGCAGAAUUUCCUGACAUUGUAUUGUAUUUCAGCAGCAGCCUCUGUAUUACAUACACACUGGAGUACCUUAAACGUGUCUUUUGCAUUGAAUUUCCCUUUUUCUUCCCAGAAGAAUAAAGAAGCACAUUUAUUACAGUAAA